This 354-nucleotide long non-coding RNA is filed under the name Coturnix japonica (Japanese quail). Its description in RNAcentral is "lncRNA (ENSCJPG00005000931.1)". The record is from RNAcentral. Lineage: Eukaryota; Metazoa; Chordata; Aves; Galliformes; Phasianidae.
AGUACAUGCUUUUUACACGAUUGAUUUGUGUCCUCAAGGAUAGGGACACUAAGUGCAGUUGCAAGCACGAUGUACUGUGGUAUUUAUAAAAUAUGUCCAAAUUAAGCCCUAUAUUUUUCCUCCCUUACAUGAACAGAAUUUAAAGAAGACAAGAACGACAACUUCAGAUUUUGAGAUGAGAAGCAGACAAAAACAAGGAAGACUCUUUCUGAAGUGGAAACCUGAAUCUACUGAAUUACCUUCUUGAAAGAAAGAAGACAGGAUGCUUGUGUGUGUGUGUUUAUAAUGAAUGCAUACUGAUGUGAAACAGUACAUACUCAUGGAAACCUCUUGGUGUAAACUGUUAAUUUAGUC